CAGAACACAGUGCUGUAAAAGACAAGCUACUCAGGUGAAUUAAAAAAUAGCGCCAUACUGUGAUACUAUCCGGCCCGAUUGUUAUGGGCGAAGCUUCACACUCCACGAGUUGGACUGAUGCCAAGUCAAGAAA
Long non-coding RNA from Aricia agestis (brown argus), 133 nucleotides. RefSeq lists it as uncharacterized. The record is from RefSeq and is a predicted model, not a curated record. Lineage: Eukaryota; Metazoa; Arthropoda; Insecta; Lepidoptera; Lycaenidae. The transcript is spliced from 2 exons.